AGUUUGAUCAUGGCUCAGAUUGAACGCUGGCGGGAUGCUACACAUGCAAGUCGAACGGCAGCACGGACUUCGGUCUGGUGGCGAGUGGCGAACGGGUGAGUAAUGUAUCGGAACGUGCCUAGUAGCGGGGAUAACUACGCGAAAGCGUAGCUAAUACCGCAUACGCCCUUCGGGGGAAAGCGGGGACCUUCGGGCCUCGCACUAUUGGAAGCGGCCGAUAUCGGAUUAGCUAGUUGGUGGGGUAACGGCUCACCAAGGCGACGAUCAUAGCUGGUUUGAGAGGACGACCAGCCACACUGGGACUGAGACACGGCCCAGACUCCUACGGGAGGCAGCAGUGGGGAAUUUUGGACAAUGGGGGAAACCCUGAUCCAGCCAUCCCGCGUGUGCGAUGAAGGCCUUCGGGUUGUAAAGCACUUUUGGCAGGAAAACGGCACGGGAUAAUACCCCGUGCAACUGACGAAGAUACCUGCAGAAUAAGCACCGGCUAACUACGUGCCAGCAGCCGCGGUAAUACGUAGGGUGCAAGCGUUAAUCAGGUUACUGGGCGUAAAGCGUGCGCAGGCAUGGUUCGGAAAAGAUGUGAAAUCCCAGAGCUUAACUUUGGAACUGCAUUUUUUUUAACUACCGAGCUAGAGUGUGUCAGAGGGAGGUGGAAUUCCGCGAUAGUAACAGUGAAAUGCGUGAAUCUAAUAGGAGAACACCGUCGUAAAAAUGACCUCCUGGGAUAACACUGACGCUCAUGCACAAGCGUGGGAGCAAACAGGAUUUUAGAUACCCUGGUAGUCCACGCCCUAAACGAUGUCAACUAGCUGUUGGGGCCUUCGGGCCUUGGUAAGGCCGCAACUAACGCGUGAAGUUGACCGCCUGGGAAGUACAGUCGCAAGAUUAAAACUCAAAGAAAUUGACGGGGACCCGCACAAGCGGUGGAUGAUGUGGAUUAAUUCGAUGCAACGCGAAAAACCUUACCUACCCUUGACAUGUCUGGAAUCCCGAAGAGAUUUGGGAGUGCUCGCAAGAGAACCGGAACACAGGUUGCUGCAUGGCUGUCGUCAGCUCGUGUCGUGAAUGUUGGGUUAAGUCCCGCAGCCAGAGCGCAACCCUUGUCAUUAGUUGCUACGAAGGGCACUCUAAUGAGACUGCCGGUGACAAACCGGAGGAAGGUGGGGAUGACGUCAAGUCCUCAUGGCCCUUAUGGGUAGGGCUUCACACGUCAUACAAUGGUCGGGACAGAGGGUCGCCAACCCGCGAGGGGGAGCCAAUCCCAGAAACCCGAUCGUAGUCGGAUCGCAGUCUGCAACUCGACUGCGUGAAGUCGGAAUCGCUAGUAAUCGCGGAUCAACAUGUCGCGGUGAAUACGUUCCCGGGUCUUGUACACACCGCCCGUCACACCAUGGGAGUGGGUUUUACCAGAAGUAGUUAACCGUAAGGAGGGCGAUUACCACACGUGGGAUUCAUGACUGGGGUGAAGUCGUAACAAGGUAG
Molecule: ribosomal RNA, 1485 nt
Filed under: uncultured Bordetella sp.
Lineage: Bacteria; Pseudomonadati; Pseudomonadota; Betaproteobacteria; Burkholderiales; Alcaligenaceae
Description: partial 16S-23S ribosomal RNA intergenic spacer
Rfam family: Bacterial small subunit ribosomal RNA
Source: RNAcentral